Molecule: ribosomal RNA, 465 nt
Filed under: uncultured bacterium
Lineage: Bacteria
Description: partial 16S ribosomal RNA
Rfam family: Bacterial small subunit ribosomal RNA
Source: RNAcentral
CCUACGGUGUGCUGCCGUAGGGAAUCUUCCACAAUGGACGGAAGUCUGAUGGAGCAACGCCGCGUGAGUGAAGAAGGGUUUCGGCUCGUAAAGCUCUGUUGGUAGUGAAGAAAGAUAGAGGUAGUAACUGGUCUUUAUUUGACGGUAAUUACUUAGAAAGUGACGGCUAACUAUGUGCCAGCAGCCGCGGUAAUACGUAGGUGGCAAGCGUUGUCCGGAUUUAUUGGGCGUAAAGCGAGUGCAGGCGGGUCAAUAAGUCUGAUGUGAACUCCUUCGGCUCAACCGGAGAAUUGCAUCAGAAACUGUUGAACUUGAGUGCAGAAGAGGAGAGUGGAACUCCAUGUGUAGAGGUGGAAUGCGUAGAUAUAUGGAAGAACACCAGUGGCGAAGGCGGCUCUCUGGUCUGCAACUGACGCUGAGGCUCGAAAGCAUGGGUAGCGAACAGGAGUAGAUACCCCAGUAGUC